UUAAAGGAUAGCCUCUCGUGGGAAACCAGCCACCAUGGGAUGUUCACAUGAUGGAAGAAAUGAUAAGCUGAUGAAGGAAUAUUCAGAGCUACAGAUAUACCAUGGGUACCCUCAAAAAGUUAUGCUGAGGAAGAAAACCCUGGAUAUAAACUACAUCUUUGUGAUUUUCUACAUUUCCCAAUUUUUUACAGUGGAUAAGAAAGACACAUCAAGAAAAAAUAUCUUGUUUUGUUGUUUUUAAAGAAGAUAUUUUUCAGAAGAACAGAACUUAGAAAUGUAGCCUUCUAAAAAAGUUGUAGGUGAUUCUAGAGCUGCCUUCUCUGCCAUGUGGCUCAUGCAAAUUUCCAUGUGGUGUAUUUCACUCCAUAUUUUGAAGGCUUGAUAUAAGAAAGAAAAGUAAGAUGUCUUAACAAUUUUAAUAUUGAUUUUUACAAGUUGAAAUGAUAAUGUUUUGGAUAUAUUGGGUUACAUAAAAUAAAAUUAAUCUCACUUGCUUCUUUUUACCUUUUAAAAUAUGAUUACUAGAAAAAAAUUAAGGAGUAAAAGGUAUUUUAAUAAGUUGAUGCUGUAUUACUGUUUCAUUUCUCAGAAAAAUUCCAAAGAUAUCAGGGACAAAUCGAACUUGGCAUGCCAGUUAAAAAAAGGACAGCAUAACUACCUAAGUGUUUUGAAUUUUGAAAAAUACAGAGCAGAAUCGAAUUUCUACAGUUUGUGGAAUGGACUCUAUCUACAAGUUAAAGGGGGUUCAGAGGCCGGCGAUGGAUGGGUAUUUAAGAGAGUUUCCUGGACGUGGUGCUACAUACACUGAAUCUGGAAGGACAGUGAGCUUUUGAAAAAUGUAAGAACAUUUUUCAGGCUCUCAGCCUUGCUAGUGUCCCGGGCAGAAGAGACAUACGGAACACGACAGCAGGUGGCUGAGAACCCAAACGUGCCUGUCUUACUGCCGUCCACAUGGAUCACUGUUUAACCUCUUGGAGCCUUGGUUUCCUCCUCUGGAAAGCAGGGAUAAUAAUGCCAACCUCAGUGUGCUGUUGCAAGGAGGAAAUGUGAUAGUUUCUGCAAAGUACUCAGCAUUACAAAAGCACUCCACAAAGUGACUAUUAUUACUGUCAUUAUUACUAAUGGAAACUAGAGCUGUUUUGGCAAAGAGAGGACCAAAACCUGAGAGUUUGGGAAACCACUCAGAGAAGUUAAGAAACACGAAGGGCACACGGUGGAUUAAAGAGAAGAACCAGCG
Mustela putorius furo (domestic ferret) is the source of this 1237-nucleotide long non-coding RNA. NCBI's taxonomy places the organism in Eukaryota, Metazoa, Chordata, Mammalia, Carnivora, Mustelidae. The record is from Ensembl.